UAGCUUCUUCUUUUUUUUUUCCUUUUUUUUAUAUAUAU
RNAcentral lists this small RNA (38 nucleotides) under Arabidopsis thaliana (thale cress). RNAcentral describes it as "ATSL293090". The record is from RNAcentral. Lineage: Eukaryota; Viridiplantae; Streptophyta; Magnoliopsida; Brassicales; Brassicaceae.